AUGAUGUUGAUUUUCACAUACAAUGUCAGUUUGGCCAUGGAAGAAUUUUCUUUGAGAUAUUCUUUUCAUAUUUCUGAUUCCAUGAGAGGAAAAAAUAAAGUUAAUUAUAAAGCUCAUUUAUGUGGUUCCAAGGAAGAAUUUGUCUUGAUAUCCAGUGGUGCUUACCUGACUCUGAAUUUUAAAACUGAUAUGUCUGUGGGAUAAAGAGGUUUUAAACUUAUUUUGGAAGAUAUAAAUCAGAAGCAUUACAAAAAAGUAGUAUGGGGGCCCGACUGCCUAUCAAUGGUAAGUAUUUUUAAAUAUUUAUUAAAGCAGAUACCAUAUAUAUCAAAGUAGAACCUGUGAAACACUGGUUUGUGGGUCCCUGGUAGUCAUCCUGUUUUAAUACUCAAAACAGGAUAACUCCAUUUCAAACCAUUCCUUAAGGCACAAGACCUUGGUAGUUUAGGUAGACCAUUCAUGGUAACAGUUAACUGGUGUGUGUGUGUGUGUGUGUGUGUGUGUGUGUGUGUGUUUACUUAAGAAAUAAUUAUAAACAUAAAAGUCAGACAGUUGCUAUUUAAAAAAAUCCAUGGGGAGAUUGAGGCUGAAACAAAGGUGGAGCUCGCUGUGUUUCCAUGUCUCUGUUACCGUCUUGGUUUCAUUAAAUAACAACACCUAAAUCCCCCAAAACACACCUCCUCCCAAAAAAGAAUAUUUUGUUAGGAUGUAUACUAACUUCUCUGCAUAAACUAGAAACACAUGUAAUGACUUUUCUAUUUAUCCAAUCUACUUUUAAGUCAGAAUUUCAUUAAUUGUGCUUAAGAUUAAAAAGCCAAAUGAAUCUGUUAUUAGGAGAUUCUUUUGAAGUGUAAUUCUAGGAAGAAUUCUAAUAAUCAACAAUCAAUACAAAGUUCUUUUUGGGGGCAUCUAGGUGGCUCAGUCAGUUAAACAUCUGCCUUUGGCUCAGGUCAUGAUCCCAGAGUCCUGGGAUCUAGGCCCACAUCAGGCUCCCUGCUCAGUGGGAGCCUUCUUCUGCCAUUUUCCCCACUCAUUCACUCUCUCACUCAAAUAAAUAAAUAAAAUCUUAAAAAAAAAAAAAAAAGUUCUUUUUGAUGUCACUUUGUCUUUUGUAAGAGAAGGGAAAUAAAUGAGUUCUAGAAAAGUCCUUGAUUUGAGCCAUAGACUAAUGAACUCUAUCAUCUUAUAGGUGUGAUUUUUUAAUUGUGUAAGGAGUGUGCAAACUACAGACCCUUAGGUCUCCAUUGCUCCUUUUUUUUUUUUUUAAGAUUUAUUUAUUUAUUUUUUAGAGGGAGCUGAGUAUUCAGGGCUUGAUUCCAUGAUCCUGAGAUUAUCACCUGAGGUGAAAUCAAGAGUCCAGCGCUUGAAUGACAGAGCCACUUAGGCGCCCCUGUGUCCAUUGCUCUUAUCUUUUCAUCUCUAUAUCUUUACAUAUACUCAUGACCCUUUAUUCACAUGGUAAAAAUAUUUAGGCUGCUUCAUUUCUUCUUUUAAGCAUUUCUUUUUUUUAGAAGUUGAAAACAAUUUAAUUGAAUACUAAUAAAAUAUUGCUGUUAAACAUGUGUACAAACAGUCCAAAGGUCUAAGAGUUACCACAUACACAGAUUAAAAUGCAGUAAGGCAGUAAACCUUAAGGUACAAAACAUGUUGAAUAAAUACUUUUGUGGGUUUUUUUCUUUUUUCUAUGAUCUAGGAUAGUCUUAAUUUUGAAGAUUUGCAUUUUUUGACAUAUAAAUCCAAAAGGAGGAGGGAAUCUAUGUUCUAUACAUAUCUGAAGAGAAAGUAGAAAUGAAAAUUUUAAAAAGAUUUUACUUAUUUAUUCAUGACAGACACAGAGAGAGAUGUGGAAACACAGGCAGAGGGAGAAGCAGGCUCCCUGCAAGGGAGCCCGAUGUGGUACUUGAUCUUGGGACCCUGGGAUCAUGCUCUGAGCCGAAGGCAGACAGACACUCAACCACUGAGCCAUGCAGGCAUCCCAGAAAUGAAUUUUGACACAAGUAUUGAAUAAAUAAAUCCACUGUGUAGAGAAUCUUUGUUUUAAAUAGAUUUCUCGGAUGCCUGGGUGGCUCAGGGCAUGAUCCUGGGAUCCCAGAAUUGAGUCCCACAUCGAGCUCCCUGCAUGGAGCCUGCUUCUCUCUCUGCCUGUGUCUCUGCCUACCCCCUCUCUCAUGAAUAAAUAAAUAAAAUCUUUAAAAAAUAAAUAAAUAGACUUCUGGUGUUAAGAAAAUCUCAAGCACUUAACAAAUGAGCAUAUCUUAUAAUUCCCAAAUUACAGGUUAUGAGGAAGCUUAAUUUUCUUCAUAUUUCAGGAUAUACUUGAAUAAGUCUCUUGUUUUUAAUUCCCUGGUAGUUCUCUUUCAAUC
This 2363-nucleotide long non-coding RNA is filed under the name Canis lupus familiaris (dog). RNAcentral describes it as "lncRNA (ENSCAFG00040017691.1)". Lineage: Eukaryota; Metazoa; Chordata; Mammalia; Carnivora; Canidae. The record is from RNAcentral.